RNAcentral lists this ribosomal RNA (217 nucleotides) under uncultured Glomeromycotina. RNAcentral's name for it is "partial small subunit ribosomal RNA". The stretch from base 47 to 217 matches the Rfam family "Eukaryotic small subunit ribosomal RNA", at positions 692 to 864 of the family's 1831-position model. The record is from RNAcentral. Lineage: Eukaryota; Fungi; Glomeromycota.
GGGUCUACCCAUUGGUCAGGCUUAAUUGUCUGCACUGGUGAGAUGGAUCUCUACCUUCUGAGGAACUUUCAUGCCAUUUAUUUGGUGUGAUGGGAAAUCAGGACUGUUACUUUGAAAAAAUUAGAGUGUUUAAAGCAGACUAUCGUCUGAAUACAUUAGCAUGGAAUAAUGAAAUAGGACGUUCGAUCCUAUUUUGUUGGUUUCUAGGAUCACCGUA